Molecule: ribosomal RNA, 454 nt
Filed under: uncultured bacterium
Lineage: Bacteria
Description: partial 16S ribosomal RNA
Rfam family: Bacterial small subunit ribosomal RNA
Source: RNAcentral
GAUGAACGCUGACAGAAUGCUUAACACAUGCAAGUCCACUUGAACUUCGGUUUGGGUGGCGGACGGGUGAGUAACGCGUACAGAACUUGCCUCACAGCUAGGGACAACAUUUGGAAACGAAUGCUAAUACCUGAUAUUAUGAUUAUAUGGCAUCGUAUAAUUAUGAAAGCUAUAUGCGCUGUGAGAGAGCUUUGCGUCCCAUUAGCUAGUUGGAGAGGUAACAGCUCACCAAGGCGAUGAUGGGUAGCCGGCCUGAGAGGGUGAUCGGCCACAAGGGGACUGAGACACGGCCCUUACGCCUACGGGAGGCAGCAGUGGGGAAUAUUGGACAAUGGACCGAGAGUCUGAUCCAGCAAUUCUGUGUGCACGAUGAAGUUUUUCGGAAUGUAAAGUGCUUUCAGUUGGGAAGAAAAAAAUGACGGUACCAACAGAAGAAGUGACGGCUAAAUACGUG